This 253-nucleotide ribosomal RNA is filed under the name uncultured bacterium. Its description in RNAcentral is "partial 16S ribosomal RNA". It matches the Rfam family "Bacterial small subunit ribosomal RNA", at positions 524 to 776 of the family's 1533-position model. The record is from RNAcentral.
UACGUAGGGUGCAAGCGUUGUCCGGAAUUAUUGGGCGUAAAGAGCUCGUAGGCGGUUUGUCGCGUCUGCUGUGAAAACCCGAGGCUCAACCUCGGGCCUGCAGUGGGUACGGGCAGACUAGAGUGCGGUAGGGGAGAAUGGAAUUCCUGGUGUAGCGGUGGAAUGCGCAGAUAUCAGGAGGAACACCGGUGGCGAAGGCGGGUCUCUGGGCCGAUACUGACGCUGAGGAGCGAAAGCGUGGGGAGCGAACAGG